ACAUUAUUUAUUUUAUCUGAUUGGACGGAACUUGGUGUCUCCCAGCUCCCAUCUCAGGAGGGCAAAACACAUCCUAGCUCUUCCCGGAUCGUAGCCGCAUCAAAUCAUCCAUGUCCUCCUCCUUCCCAGCAACCAAAGAAGGGAGUUCACACCCUUCCAAAUCCUCCACGCCCACCGCGUGCCAGCCACCGUGCCAGCAGCGCCCAAAUCCCAGCGUCCGAAUCCAUCUCCCGAAAUCCAAGCUUCCCGUGAUGCAGGCCGUGAUCCAAGCAGCAUCCCCAUCUCCCCCUCUUCCGGCCACAGCAGCGGAUUUUCAGCAAGCCCCGAGCAAUGCGUCCGUGAUCGGCUCCUCCCAGCGCCCGGAUUCGCAGUGCCCCAGCUGUUCACCGUCCGUGAUCCCACGCGUGUC
RNAcentral lists this long non-coding RNA (409 nucleotides) under Phoenix dactylifera (date palm). RNAcentral's name for it is "long non-coding RNA (PDAC_LNC017606)". The record is from RNAcentral. Lineage: Eukaryota; Viridiplantae; Streptophyta; Magnoliopsida; Arecales; Arecaceae.